CCUACGGGGGGCAGCAGUAGGGAAUCUUUCACAAUGGGCGAAAGCCUGAUGGAGCAACGCCGCGUGCAGGAUGAAGGCCUUCGGGUUGUAAACUGCUUUUAUCAGCGAGAAAUAUGAUGGUAACUUAUGAAUAAGGAUCGGCUAACUACGUUCCAGCAGCCGCGGUCAUACGUAGGAUCCGAGCAUUAUCCGGAGUGACUGGGUGUAAAGAGUUGCGUAGGUGGCAUAAUAAGUAGCUAGUGAAAUCUGGUGGCUCAACCAUUCAGACUAUUAGCUAAACUGUUAAGCUCGAGACCGUUAGGGGUAACUGGAAUUUCUAGUGUAGGAGUGAAAUCCGUAGAUAUUAGAAGGAACACCAAUAGCGUAGGCAGGUUGCUGGGACGGGUCUGACACUAAGGCACGAAAGCGUAGGGAGCAAACGGGAUUAGAUACCCUAGUAGUC
RNAcentral lists this ribosomal RNA (442 nucleotides) under uncultured bacterium. RNAcentral describes it as "partial 16S ribosomal RNA". It matches the Rfam family "Bacterial small subunit ribosomal RNA", at positions 338 to 795 of the family's 1533-position model. The record is from RNAcentral.